UGUGUCUCAACAAAGUAUUAGUAAUAUUACACAUAUUUUUCGUACAGAAAGUUGUGACGCAAUCGCUGCAAAAUUGGCCAAAUUUUGUUUUGAGAAGACCUGCAUAUCCUUUAUACCAUAGUUAUUUACUACCAAUGCUUAGAAAUGGCAUACAACAGGCAAUAGGAGAUAAUAUGCUGUCAAAUAGAACACCAUUCUCCCCAAUACCAUUCAAUAGCUCGCCAUUCUCCAACGCAAUACAGCUAGGGCGAGGUUGGUCGAGCUUCUCAAGAAAUGAUAUACCAGUUAUAAGUCGUAUGCCUUACGAAUAUAAACCUGUUACCUCUGGGCUUUACAAUGUAAAUCAGGGCAUAGCUAGGCCAGGCCCUUUGAGUCCUCUGCAAACUUUGACGUUAAAUAAUCUUUUAGCUAAUGUACCGUAUAGUGGCAUAUGUUUUAUUGACGAACAGACUCAUCAAGCGAGCUUUUCUUUGCCAUCAAUAUAUACAGUGAUAAAAAAUCCAAUCGUACAGCCAAACAGUUUAGGAAAUUAUCCGAUAAACAACGGAAGAUUUGGUUUGAAUAGUUUUGCUAGGCAAAAUUCUUUAAUACCAUACUUGUAAUUUAUAAUAUUAAGUUAUUUUAUUUACAAAUGUUAUGUUCGUUAAGUUUUAUUUGAUUGAAUUAAAUUAAUAUCCUUUCAUUUUAUUAAAUAAAUAUUAAAUUGGA
Long non-coding RNA from Pieris rapae (cabbage white), 708 nucleotides. RefSeq lists it as uncharacterized. The transcript is spliced from 2 exons. The record is from RefSeq and is a predicted model, not a curated record. NCBI's taxonomy places the organism in Eukaryota, Metazoa, Arthropoda, Insecta, Lepidoptera, Pieridae.